AAACAAGGACAACUAAGUGUUUGGCAUCAAGGCAAACAUCUCUUGGUACAAAGGUGGACAAUUGUCCUAAAAAGGUAUAUAUGGAAUUCAAAAGAAAAUGAUAUUUGGUUCCAAAGAGAGACAAUAUGUCACUGGGAUGAAUGGUUAUGAUUGAAUAUAGAUCAUGGAUCAUGAAAGAUACGAGUGGAAUACUAAGGCAGAAG
RNAcentral lists this long non-coding RNA (203 nucleotides) under Lathyrus oleraceus (garden pea). Its description in RNAcentral is "Pisum sativum (pea) long non-coding RNA (PSAT_LNC009981)". The record is from RNAcentral. Lineage: Eukaryota; Viridiplantae; Streptophyta; Magnoliopsida; Fabales; Fabaceae.